CAUCCUCAAUGCAUCUGGAAUCAAUCGAUUUGUUCGGUAUGCACAUAUAGCACCGGCACCGCCGCUGCGUACCAGUGUAACCGGGAGAAGGAGAGACCAGGGGUGGGCGGGUGGCGCCAGAGGGCUUGCUCGUCCAACGCCGCGCGCCAGAGGGCGCUGCCUGGCGUCGCUGCGUCCUCGGCCGCUGCGUCGACGUUGCUGUACCCUCCAGUACAGGCGGCGUGUCCUCGGGGUAACCAAUGGCCGGCGCCUAGAACGGCGAUCUCCACCGCGGCGGCACCGGUAGCACGACCAGCCGCGUCGAAUGCUGCAUCCGAGAGGUGGAGGACGCCGUCGUCGCCAAACGCCGAGAAGCAUGUCCAUUGAUUACUGCUGUGGACGGGAAUAUGGCUAAUCGAAUCGGCGGCAUUCUUCUCUUCUCCUGUGGCCAUUUCUCAGCGGAGAGCAAAAGUGCUGAUAACGUGUUAGAGAGAAUCGAGAGAGAGGAGCGAAUGGAAAACAGAUAUAUGAAUGAACAGUUAUUCUAUUGAUUGAAGAUUGGGGUAUUUAUACCCAGUUUACAAGGCGGUUA
This is a long non-coding RNA of Triticum dicoccoides, 571 nucleotides long. RefSeq lists it as uncharacterized. NCBI's taxonomy places the organism in Eukaryota, Viridiplantae, Streptophyta, Magnoliopsida, Poales, Poaceae. The transcript is spliced from 2 exons. The record is from RefSeq and is a predicted model, not a curated record.